GACGAACGCUGGCGGCGUGCCUAACACAUGCAAGUCGUACGGGACCGGGGGCAACUCCGGUUCAGUGGCAGACGGGUGCGUAACACGUGAGGAACCUGUCCGGUGGCGGGGGAUAGCCGGCCCAACGGCCGGGUAAUACCGCAUACGCUCGUUCAGGGGCAUCCCUGGGCGAGGAAAGCAGCCGCAAGGUUGCGCCGACGGAGGGCCUCGCGACCUAUCAGCUUGUUGGCGGGGUAACGGCCCACCAAGGCGACGACGGGUAGCUGGUCUGAGAGGAUGAUCAGCCACAUUGGGACUGAGACACGGCCCAGACUCCUACGGGAGGCAGCAGUGGGGAAUAUUGCGCAAUGGCCGCAAGGCUGACGCAGCGACGCCGCGUGUGGGAUGACGGUCUUCGGAUUGUAAACCACUGUCAGGGGGAACGAAUACAGGGCUUCGAUAAGGAGACCC
Molecule: ribosomal RNA, 450 nt
Filed under: uncultured bacterium
Lineage: Bacteria
Description: bacterial SSU rRNA
Rfam family: Bacterial small subunit ribosomal RNA
Source: RNAcentral